UACAGAGGGUGCAAGCGUUAAUCGGAAUUACUGGGCGUAAAGCGUGCGUAGGCGGUUAUUUAAGUCGGAUGUGAAAUCCCCGGGCUCAACCUGGGAAUUGCAUUCGAUACUGGAUAGCUAGAGUUCGGCAGAGGGAAGUGGAAUUUCGGGUGUAGCGGUGAAAUGCGUAGAUAUCCGAAGGAACAUCAGUGGCGAAAGCGACUUCCUGGACCAGAACUGACGAUCAGGCACGAAAGCGUGGGGAGCAAACAGG
Molecule: ribosomal RNA, 253 nt
Filed under: uncultured bacterium
Lineage: Bacteria
Description: partial 16S ribosomal RNA
Rfam family: Bacterial small subunit ribosomal RNA
Source: RNAcentral